Physeter macrocephalus (sperm whale) is the source of this 1758-nucleotide long non-coding RNA. RefSeq lists it as uncharacterized. The transcript has 3 exons. The record is from RefSeq and is a predicted model, not a curated record. Lineage: Eukaryota; Metazoa; Chordata; Mammalia; Artiodactyla; Physeteridae.
CCAGGGAAGCCCCCUGGCAGGCGGAUUCUUAACCACUGCGCCACCAGGGAAGUCCCUGGAUUUCAGCUUUGAUCUGCUUUCUCUGGGAAAGAUUUGCUUUUUGUACAGUUAUUUCUAACAGUUCAUCCACUCCUCAGUAUUCAAUAGGAGCCGUGGACAUUGCUUAGAGAGACAAAACUACAUUGAAGACCUUCGGAAUGGUCCCAUCAGAAAGAAUCGGGAUUCCAGUGUAUCCAGAACAAGUGGUUUUGAAGACUCAGAGCAUAUGAUGGAACCAGUUCACACAGCUAAUAAGUCUGUUAACCAAGGACCGAAGUAUAACCUACAUCAGACCCCAGGUUACCCAACAUCUCGGCAUUUCCAUACCCAGACCCAAGAUUUGCAGCAAUCAGAAAGAAAAUGUUCACAGAAUCAGAACAUUUACCAGAGAGGCCAUAUUCCUCCUCCUGGUCCCCACGGAGAGGACCGUUUACACAGGAGGUACUCUUGGAAUGUAAAGCCGAAUGCCAGUCAAGCAGCACAGAACAGAAGGUAGUAUCCUGGCAGUUACUACAGACUACCCUAUCCGACCUAUUAUAGAUGGACCAAGUGACACAAGCCUACCGUGGAAAUCUAUCUAGAGACAGAACAGGACAGAAGACAGCCAGAGUGACUUGUUAUAAGAUCAGGUCAAAUGAGGUUUAUAAUCUAUUUUAGUGCUCCCUUAUGUGUUCGAGCUUCAGGAAAAAUUAUAUUGAUACUUAGCUCCACUGAUAAAUUUGCAGUAUUUACAACAGUGAAGGAAAUAAUGUCAUUCCGGUCUUAAAUUUUUUUAAAGGAGGAUGAUAUUUUAGAACUGAUAAAAAGUAAUAAAGAGCAUCCCUUGUAAAUUAUUUUUAAAAAUUCUAUCUUCCUCUUCUGGUGUAUUUCCUUCUGAAUAGACUUGUAAUGUUAGUGUGUGUGUGUGUGUGUGUGUGUUUGUGUGUGUAUGUGUGCCGAAAAUUUUUAGUGUUUUUGUCAUGUUCUGUUAUUACCCAAUCAUCAGGGUAUCUUCAUCCCCCCCAAAAAAACUGUUCAAGAUUUCUAUUAAAAUCUACCUAGGAGAUAAUCUCUUUAGAACCUAAUCACUAUUUGUAAUUAGUUGUAGUAUUUUUGUGGUUAGACAUUUCUUUCUUUCUUUUGGCAGUCUAUUGUUGGAUUUGACCAAUUUCCUUUCACUGAAUUGUCAGAUAUGCCAUCUAACACUGGAUAAACUUUUAGGGAUUGAUUGUCAAUUGAGCAGGAGAGACCAAUUGACAAACGUAAAUGCUAAAUGCUGGGUAAUUUACCUGACAGGGUAAUUGUUAUCAACUGGGUGGAGCUACUCAGAAAACUUGAAAACGUCUAUAGACUAUAAAGGUUGCUUGAUGAACAGAAUAGGGUGCGACAUUUAAAGCCUGGAAUAUCUGGGGAGACUUGCAUGGCUCCUUGUGUUGUUGCUUCUUUGGUGAACAUAACCUGCUGCAGUCUUUCUCCACUUGCCUCUCACAGCGGAAUGGUUCCUUGACCUUGACUUUUUCUAAGUUGCCUCUUCUGCUAGUUUACCUCUGGAACACACAGCUGGAUCACGUGGGAGGUGUUCAUUACUUUUAGUUGCAGAGGAAGCCAGAAACCUUUGUUUGCUCAAGAAAGGGUCUAACUGUCAUGACAUCAAAAGCCUUGGUAAAUAUUUGAUGAAUACUUGGGCAAAUUGGCUUCAUUGUUUAAGUCUCUGAUUUUGAAGCGUUGUAUCAAGGAAAG